AAAUUGAAGAGUUUGAUCAUGGCUCAGAUUGAACGCUGGCGGCAGGCCUAACACAUGCAAGUCGAACGGUAACAGGAAGCAGCUUGCUGUUUCGCUGACGAGUGGCGGACGGGUGAGUAAUGUCUGGGAAACUGCCUGAUGGAGGGGGAUAACUACUGGAAACGGUAGCUAAUACCGCAUAACGUCGCAAGACCAAAGAGGGGGACCUUCGGGCCUCUUGCCAUCGGAUGUGCCCAGAUGGGAUUAGCUAGUAGGUGGGGUAACGGCUCACCUAGGCGACGAUCCCUAGCUGGUCUGAG
RNAcentral lists this ribosomal RNA (299 nucleotides) under Shigella flexneri. RNAcentral describes it as "partial 16S ribosomal RNA". It matches the Rfam family "Bacterial small subunit ribosomal RNA", at positions 1 to 296 of the family's 1533-position model. Lineage: Bacteria; Pseudomonadati; Pseudomonadota; Gammaproteobacteria; Enterobacterales; Enterobacteriaceae. The record is from RNAcentral.